Molecule: long non-coding RNA, 1018 nt
Filed under: Ursus maritimus (polar bear)
Lineage: Eukaryota; Metazoa; Chordata; Mammalia; Carnivora; Ursidae
Description: lncRNA (ENSUMAG00000004837.1)
Source: RNAcentral
GUUUCACAGGGUCCCGGGAAACCCCAGGCUGAGCCAAGAUGAUGUGCGCGGUGAUGUAAAUUACACACAGGAGCUGGAUCGUGUCGGUCGGAUUCUCUAACAAGUUCAGGCCCAACCAAGGUUCAGAAGUCGUGCCCAAAACGGGGAUUUGAGGGGCUCCCGGUGGCUCAGUUGGUUAAGCAUCCGACUUUUGGUUUCAGCUCAGGUCAUGAUCUCAGGGUCGCGGACUCGCGUGUCCUCAGUGGGGAGUCAGCUUGGGAUUCUCUCUCCCUCUGCCCCUCCCCCCGCUUGCUCACACGCUCUCUGUCUCUCUCAAAUAAAAUCCAUCUUUUAAACAAAAAUAAAAAAGUAAAAGGGGGAUUUGACCUGUCAUUUCAGGGACUUGAGACGACGCGCUGGCAGAGGUCUGAGGGGAUGGCACUGUUUGCGAAGGGCCACCUGGGAUGACCCACCACACGGGGACACCGACCUGGGCGGACCAGCGUGGUCCAUUCUCACGGACUGCGGUGAACAGAAAUAAGACGCAGCAGAUCGGCACACGUCAGAGCCGAGUCCUCGGCCUGGGGCCACCUUGUGUGCAGGACGCUCCCGGCUCUACCCGAAGGCCGGCGGUGCUGCUGUUAGACCGAGCGGCCCGGGACGAGAAGGGAAAGCCUUAGUGACCCACAGCAGACGGUCAAGAAUGGGAGUGCCCAACGCAGAAAGGAACGUCAUGAGAGUUACGUUUCUUUGGUUUAGAGUUUUUUCAGGGGUUUUUUUUGUGUGUUUUUUUUUUUACUGUUUUUCUCCAGCUUUUUUUAAGUGAAAAUUUUCAAACAUACACAAGGGUUGAAAGAGUAGUACAACGAAAACGUGGCCGUCUCUAUGUACAUGUGUGUGUACACAGGAAACAUGUGUGUGUUCACAUAGACAUGAACUAAUGGUCCAUCUUGGAAGUAGCUUACAGAAAUCAAGACAUUUUAUCCCUAAAUAGUUAAGGGUGACUCUCCCUCCACAACCACAAUACCAUGUAACACUG